This 916-nucleotide ribosomal RNA is filed under the name uncultured archaeon. RNAcentral's name for it is "bacterial SSU rRNA". It matches the Rfam family "Archaeal small subunit ribosomal RNA", at positions 1 to 924 of the family's 1478-position model. The record is from RNAcentral.
UUCCGGUUGAUCCUGCCGGACCUGACUGCUAUCGGAUUGAUACUAAGCCAUGCGAGUCAUUGUAGUAAUACAAGGCAGACGGCUCAGUAACGCGUAGUCAACCUACCCUAUGGACGGGGAUAACCUCGGGAAACUGAGAAUAAUACCCGAUAGAACAUUAUGCCUGGAAUGGUUUAUGUUUCAAAUAAUUUAUUGCCGUAGGAUGGGACUGCGGCCUAUCAGUUUGUUGGUGAGGUAAUGGCCCACCAAGACUAUUACAGGUACGGGCUCUGAGAGGAGUAGCCCGGAGAUGGGUACUGAGACACGGACCCAGGCCCUAUGGGGCGCAGCAGGCGAGAAAACUUUGCAAUGUGCGAAAGCACGACAAGGUUAAUCCGAGUGGUUUCUGCUAAAGGAACCUUUUGUCAGUCCUAGAAACACUGAUGAAUAAGGGGUGGGCAAGUUCUGGUGUCAGCCGCCGCGGUAAAACCAGCACCUCAAGUGGUCAGGAUGAUUAUUGGGCCUAAAGCAUCCGUAGCCUGCUUUGUAAGUUUUCGGUUAAAUCCAUACGCUCAACGUAUGGGCUGCCGGGAAUACUGCAAAGCUAGGGAGUGGGAGAGGUAGACGGUACUCGGUAGGAAGGGGUAAAAUCCUUUGAUCUAUUGAUGACCACCUGUGGCGAAGGCGGUCUACCAGAACACGUCCGACGGUGAGGGAUGAAAGCUGGGGGAGCAAACCGGAUUAGAUACCCGGGUAGUCCCAUCUGUAAACUAUGCAAACUCAGUGAUGCAUUGGCUUGAUGCCAAUGCAGUGCUGCAGGGAAGCCGUUAAGUUUGCCGCCUGGGAAGUACGUACGCAAGUAUGAAACUUAAAGGAAUUGGCGGGGGAGCACCACAAAGGGUGAAGCCUGCGGUUCAAUUGGAUUCAACGCCCGGGA